This 1331-nucleotide long non-coding RNA is filed under the name Sus scrofa (pig). RNAcentral's name for it is "lncRNA (ENSSSCG00070030608.1)". The record is from RNAcentral. Lineage: Eukaryota; Metazoa; Chordata; Mammalia; Artiodactyla; Suidae.
CUCUUUUUCUUUCUCUUUUUAUGGCUGCACCCUCAGAUUAUGGAAGUUCCCAGGCUCAGGGUCAAAUCAGAGCUUCAGCUGCCAGCCUAAACUAUAGCCACAGCCACACUAAUGCAGGAUCUGACCUAUGUUGCAACUUGCAACAAUGCUGGAUCCUUUAACCCAACGAUCGAGGCCAGGGAUUAAACCUGCAUCGUCGUGGACACUAUGUCAGGUUCUUAACCCGCUGAACCACAACAGGAACUCCUUUAUAUUUUCAAUUAGGAAGACCACUGUGCUUUGUCUGAAUUUUUCUUUGCUGUGCUAUAGUUUCAAAAUGACCACCAGAUAAUAGCUCCUUGCCAUCUGCUUCUCCAACUUCAGCUUCAGGAACCUACUUUGGUUUUCGGGUGACCAAGAAAAUUUCUCCCUUUCUCAAAAGAAGAGUCAACCACACAGCGUACGUGCCUCACCAAGGAAUUCAUCUGAAUUUCUAGAUCUCUUGCUUACUUAGAGACAGAACUCAAUUAAUUAUGUGCCAAUUAGUUAUUAGUUGCCUAAGAAAUUGCAAAAGACUAUGCCCCAGGCUUUGAUGGAGCACAGUUUCUUAGUGCAGUUUCUCAAAAUAUAAAUCAAGGGCAAAGGUUUAUAAUCAAAUUUCAUAAGUUUAGAAAUCAGUUUUGCUUUGAAAUCAACAUAAUUUGAUCUCAGGCAUUUCUUGGGACUAGAGGAAACAUUUUUACUUCAUGUUGUUUGCCUAAAAAGAAGAGUCAAAAAAACAAAAACUCUCUGGAAGAUCUACAUUCCCCAGAUUCAUCUUAACUAGUGAAGAUGAACGAAAACAUCUGUCCAGUCCCCUCUUUAAAGAUCUUCGUAGGAGGAAUUCUGGGCAUGUGAAAGGAGUCAAGGUCACAGUGUAGGCCUCCGUCUACCAUCCUGCCAGGUCUGCAAGGAACUCAGGGCGUUGCAAGGAACUCAGUUCUGGCGUCCUGCUAAGGAUAAGUAGAAGGCAUUGACUCUUCACUAUGUGGUUGCUUUCAACAAAAUUUAUGAGAAAGCAAAAGGAAGUUUCUAAACUACUGCCAGAUGGCAAGAACUUGGAGCACUGAAAUGAGACUAAAACCCAAUCAGAAAGAAGCAUAACCUAUUUAGGACAAGACAUCGGGCCUCUUGUGAAACUGAAGCAUUUCCAAAUCUUCUGUAAAGACAUAAAGUCUGACCAGACAAAAUUAUUUCCUAGGUGUAACAUUCAGAAAUCAAAGUCAUACCUGAGUGACAACAGUCUCCCAUUUGCUGUCUGUUCUUUGUUCUUAAGUGAGUUUCUUCUCUGUUGAAGCUGCUUUUGAAGAAUC